Molecule: ribosomal RNA, 405 nt
Filed under: Triticum aestivum (bread wheat)
Lineage: Eukaryota; Viridiplantae; Streptophyta; Magnoliopsida; Poales; Poaceae
Description: partial small subunit ribosomal RNA
Source: RNAcentral
AUGCAGGGUAAGGAGGUAAAAGUCGCGGGUGGUCAGGGCUGCCAGAUAUGUGGUGACACUGUUGACGUUUCGGCCACCGGCGAUGUCUUUGUCGCCUGCAAUGAGUGCGCCUUCCCGGUCUGCCGCCCUUGCUAUGAGUACGAACGCAAGGAUGGGGUCAAAUGUUGUCCUCAGUGCAAGACUAGAUACAAGAGGCCGAAAGGUAGCCCCCGAGUUCCGGGAGAUGAGGAGGAAGAAGAUGUUGAUGACCUGGACAAUGAGUUCAACUACAAGCAAGGGAAUGGCAAAGGUCCAGAGUGGCAGCUGCAGGGUCAAGGAGAAGACAUUGAUUUGUCUUCAUCCUCUCGUCAUGAACCUAAUCAUCGUAUUCCUCGUCUGACAAGUGGACAACAGGGAAAUCCCUGA